Molecule: ribosomal RNA, 519 nt
Filed under: uncultured bacterium
Lineage: Bacteria
Description: partial 16S ribosomal RNA
Rfam family: Bacterial small subunit ribosomal RNA
Source: RNAcentral
GGGGAAUAUUGCACAAUGGGCGAAAGCCUGAUGCAGCGACGCCGCGUGCGGGAUGAAGGCCUUCGGGUUGUAAACCGCUUUUAAUUGGGAGCAAGCGAGAGUGAGUGUACCUUUUGAAUAAGCACCGGCUAACUACGUGCCAGCAGCCGCGGUAAUACGUAGGGUGCAAGCGUUAUCCGGAAUUAUUGGGCGUAAAGAGCUCGUAGGCGGUUUGUCACGCCUGGUGUGAAAGUCCAUCGCUUAACGGUGGAUCUGCGCCGGGUACGGGCAGGCUAGAGUGCAGUAGGGGAGAUUGGAAUUCCCGGUGUAACGGUGGAAUGUGUAGAUAUCGGGAAGAACACCAAUGGCGAAGGCAGAUCUCUGGGCUGUUACUGACGCUGAGGAGCGAAAGCAUGGGGAGCGAACAGGAUUAGAUACCCUGGUAGUCCAUGCCGUAAAACGGUGGAUGCUGGAUGUGGGACCCUUCCACGGGUUCCGUGUCGGAGCUAACGCGUUAAGCAUCCCGCCUGGGGAGUACGG